RNAcentral lists this ribosomal RNA (242 nucleotides) under Bacillus velezensis. RNAcentral describes it as "partial 16S ribosomal RNA". It matches the Rfam family "Bacterial small subunit ribosomal RNA", at positions 69 to 302 of the family's 1533-position model. Lineage: Bacteria; Bacillati; Bacillota; Bacilli; Caryophanales; Bacillaceae. The record is from RNAcentral. RNAcentral also lists the same sequence under 1 other name.
ACAGAUGGGAGCUUGCUCCCUGAUGUUAGCGGCGGACGGGUGAGUAACACGUGGGUAACCUGCCUGUAAGACUGGGAUAACUCCGGGAAACCGGGGCUAAUACCGGAUGGUUGUCUGAACCGCAUGGUUCAGACAUAAAAGGUGGCUUCGGCUACCACUUACAGAUGGACCCGCGGCGCAUUAGCUAGUUGGUGAGGUAACGGCUCACCAAGGCGACGAUGCGUAGCCGACCUGAGAGGGUG